UAGCUCAGGGGAAGAGCACUUGCCUAGCAUGCAUGAAGCCCUAGGUUCGAUUCCCAG
RNAcentral lists this transfer RNA (57 nucleotides) under Heterocephalus glaber (naked mole-rat). It matches the Rfam family "tRNA", at positions 8 to 63 of the family's 71-position model. From Rfam's summary of the family: Transfer RNA (tRNA) molecules are approximately 80 nucleotides in length. Lineage: Eukaryota; Metazoa; Chordata; Mammalia; Rodentia; Bathyergidae. The record is from Rfam by way of RNAcentral.